GAUGAACGCUGGCGGCGUGCUUAACACAUGCAAGUCGAACGAGCGAAGAGGAGCUUGCUCCUCCUAGCUAGUGGCGGACGGGUGAGUAACGCGUGGGUAACCUGCCCUAUGCAGGGGGAUAACAUCUGGAAACGGAUGCUAAUACCGCAUAAACUAUGGUUCUUCGCAUGAAGGAUAUAGCAAAGAUUUAUCGGCAUAGGAUGGACCCGCGUUGGAUUAGCUAGUUGGUGAGAUAACAGCCCACCAAGGCGACGAUCCAUAGCCGGCCUGAGAGGGUGAACGGCCACAUUGGGACUGAGACACGGCCCAAACUCCUACGGGAGGCAGCAGUGGGGAAUAUUGCACAAUGGGCGAAAGCCUGAUGCAGCAACGCCGCGUGAAGGAUGAAGGUCUUCGGAUUGUAAACUUCUAUCAGCAGGGAAGAAUAAAUGACGGUACCUGACUAAGAAGUUCCGGCUAACUACGUG
This 467-nucleotide ribosomal RNA is filed under the name uncultured bacterium. RNAcentral's name for it is "bacterial SSU rRNA". It matches the Rfam family "Bacterial small subunit ribosomal RNA", at positions 28 to 507 of the family's 1533-position model. The record is from RNAcentral.